This 69-nucleotide transfer RNA is filed under the name Marmota monax (woodchuck). RNAcentral's name for it is "tRNA.Thr". It matches the Rfam family "tRNA". Rfam says of the family: Transfer RNA (tRNA) molecules are approximately 80 nucleotides in length. Their secondary structure includes four short double-helical elements and three loops (D, anti-codon, and T loops). Further hydrogen bonds mediate the characteristic L-shaped molecular structure. tRNAs have two regions of fundamental functional importance: the anti-codon, which is responsible for specific mRNA codon recognition, and the 3' end, to which the tRNAs corresponding amino acid is attached (by aminoacyl-tRNA synthetases). tRNAs cope with the degeneracy of the genetic code in two manners: having more than one tRNA (with a specific anti-codon) for a particular amino acid; and 'wobble' base-pairing, i.e. permitting non-standard base-pairing at the 3rd anti-codon position. Lineage: Eukaryota; Metazoa; Chordata; Mammalia; Rodentia; Sciuridae. The record is from RNAcentral.
GGGUGUAGCUCAGUGGUAGUGCACUUGCCUAGUGUGCACAAGGCCCUGGGUUCCACCCCCAGCACCACA